RNAcentral lists this transfer RNA (65 nucleotides) under Dipodomys ordii (Ord's kangaroo rat). It matches the Rfam family "tRNA". Rfam says of the family: Transfer RNA (tRNA) molecules are approximately 80 nucleotides in length. Their secondary structure includes four short double-helical elements and three loops (D, anti-codon, and T loops). Lineage: Eukaryota; Metazoa; Chordata; Mammalia; Rodentia; Heteromyidae. The record is from Rfam by way of RNAcentral.
GGUGGCUCAGUGGUAGAGUGCUUGCCUUGCAAGCAUGAGAUCCUGGGUUCGAUUCCUCAGCACCA